GGAGAGGUGUCCGAGAUGGCUUAAGGAGCACGAUUGGAAAUCGUGUGUGGUUAACGCCACCGGGAGUUCGAAUCUCCCCUUCUCCGCCA
Molecule: transfer RNA, 89 nt
Filed under: Desulfovibrio sp.
Lineage: Bacteria; Pseudomonadati; Thermodesulfobacteriota; Desulfovibrionia; Desulfovibrionales; Desulfovibrionaceae
Description: tRNA-Ser
Rfam family: tRNA
About the family: Transfer RNA (tRNA) molecules are approximately 80 nucleotides in length. Their secondary structure includes four short double-helical elements and three loops (D, anti-codon, and T loops).
Source: RNAcentral